This 399-nucleotide long non-coding RNA is filed under the name Marmota monax (woodchuck). Lineage: Eukaryota; Metazoa; Chordata; Mammalia; Rodentia; Sciuridae. The record is from RNAcentral.
CCCUGUGUUAUAUAGGAAUGUAGCGCCUUUGCUGGUUGGAGCCGCAUCCAGAAACCUGGAGAAAAUCUGUCCACUUGAUGUCCCAAAAGACCGGCAUCACUCCCACCAACUGGCCGGUAGCAAAGGACCAAAUGGAAAUUUCAUAAACUGGGAAGACAAUCCAGUUAUUCAGUAUUACGCAACAGGCCGCUGCAGCGCAGAGCACUGGAUUGGGAGUCAGGGGCUGGAGGCCAGCCCCAGGUCUACUCGUAUUCCCUGAGCAACCCUAGAAAAAUCGCCAGUGAUCCCUGGGCUAAGAACAGGACUGAGACAUUUGGAUGGAGAUCCUAAAUGCAAAGGAGACUCACGUUCUCCCACUCCAAGUAAUCAAAUAAAUACACUAUGAAACUGUAAUAUAAG